This 552-nucleotide ribosomal RNA is filed under the name uncultured bacterium. Its description in RNAcentral is "bacterial SSU rRNA". It matches the Rfam family "Bacterial small subunit ribosomal RNA", at positions 355 to 897 of the family's 1533-position model. The record is from RNAcentral.
UAGGGAAUCUUCGGCAAUGGACGAAAGUCUGACCGAGCAACGCCGCGUGAGUGAAGAAGGUUUUCGGAUCGUAAAGCUCUGUUGUAAGAGAAGAACGGGUGUGAGAGUGGAAAGUUCACACUGUGACGGUAUCUUACCAGAAAGGGACGGCUAACUACGUGCCAGCAGCCGCGGUAAUACGUAGGUCCCGAGCGUUGUCCGGAUUUAUUGGGCGUAAAGCGAGCGCAGGCGGUUAGAUAAGUCUGAAGUUAAAGGCUGUGGCUUAACCAUAGUACGCUUUGGAAACUGUUUAACUUGAGUGCAGAAGGGGAGAGUGGAAUUCCAUGUGUAGCGGUGAAAUGCGUAGAUAUAUGGAGGAACACCGGUGGCGAAAGCGGCUCUCUGGUCUGUAACUGACGCUGAGGCUCGAAAGCGUGGGGAGCGAACAGGAUUAGAUACCCUGGUAGUCCACGCCGUAAACGAUGAGUGCUAGGUGUUAGGCCCUUUCCGGGGCUUAGUGCCGCAGCUAACGCAUUAAGCACUCCGCCCUGGGGAGUACGACCGCAAGGUUGA